UGCAACAAAACCAAAGGCCACUCCAGCAAGG
RNAcentral lists this non-coding RNA (31 nucleotides) under Callithrix jacchus (white-tufted-ear marmoset). Lineage: Eukaryota; Metazoa; Chordata; Mammalia; Primates; Cebidae. The record is from RNAcentral. RNAcentral also lists the same sequence under 1 other name.